GUCUGGUGGCGAUGGCGAGAAGGUCACACCCGUUCCCAUACCGAACACGGAAGUUAAGCUUCUCAGCGCCGAUGGUAGUUGGGGGUUUCCCCCUGUGAGAGUAGGACGCCGCCGGG
This 116-nucleotide ribosomal RNA is filed under the name Mesobacillus selenatarsenatis. The record is from RNAcentral. Lineage: Bacteria; Bacillati; Bacillota; Bacilli; Caryophanales; Bacillaceae.